RNAcentral lists this ribosomal RNA (451 nucleotides) under uncultured bacterium. RNAcentral describes it as "partial 16S ribosomal RNA". It matches the Rfam family "Bacterial small subunit ribosomal RNA", at positions 29 to 523 of the family's 1533-position model. The record is from RNAcentral.
AGCGAACGCUGGCGGCAGGCUUAACACAUGCAAGUCGAGCGGGCGUAGCAAUACGUCAGCGGCAGACGGGUGAGUAACGCGUGGGAACGUACCUUUUGGUUCGGAACAACACAGGGAAACUUGUGCUAAUACCGGAUAAGCCCUUACGGGGAAAGAUUUAUCGCCGAAAGAUCGGCCCGCUUCUGAUUAGCUAGUUGGUGAGGUAACGGCUCACCAAGGCGAGGAUCAGUAGCUGGUCUGAGAGGAUGAUCAGCCACAUUGGGACUGAUACACGGCCCAAACUCCUACGGGAGGCAGCAGUGGGGAAUAUUGGACAAUGGGCGCAAGCCUGAUCCAGCCAUGCCGCGUGAGUGAUGAAGGCCCUAGGGUUGUAAAGCUCUUUUGUGCGGGAAGAUAAUGACGGUACCGCAAGAAUAAGCCCCGGCUAACUUCGUGCCAGCCGCCGCAGUAA